RNAcentral lists this long non-coding RNA (200 nucleotides) under Phoenix dactylifera (date palm). RNAcentral's name for it is "long non-coding RNA (PDAC_LNC000561)". The record is from RNAcentral. Lineage: Eukaryota; Viridiplantae; Streptophyta; Magnoliopsida; Arecales; Arecaceae.
AUCUCACUACCUAGUAAGUUCUUGGCAUAUGUACUUUCACCCAAAUGGUUGCAUCAUUCUAAGCUGAACUAACUUGGUAUAUAUUGGCAAGAAGUUUUACAUACAUAUUUAAUGCAGUGGAAUUAGAGAUAAGUUUCUUACUAGAUUGAAAGAAAAACAGAUUUUGAUUUAUAAUAUUGGAUAGGAAUCAAUUUUGUCUA